UACGUAGGGGGCGAGCGUUAUCCGGAUUUAUUGGGCGUAAAGCGCGCGUGGGCGGCCGAUCACGUCGGGUGUGAAAGCUCGGGGCUUAACCCUGAGAGGCCAUUCGAUACGGAUCGGCUAGAGGCAGGUAGGGGAAGGUGGAAUUCCUGGUGUAGCGGUGAAAUGCGCAGAUAUCAGGAGGAACACCGGUGGCGAAGGCGGCCUUCUGGGCCUGUCCUGACGCUGAGGCGCGAAAGCUGGGGGAGCAAACAGG
RNAcentral lists this ribosomal RNA (253 nucleotides) under uncultured bacterium. RNAcentral describes it as "partial 16S ribosomal RNA". It matches the Rfam family "Bacterial small subunit ribosomal RNA", at positions 524 to 776 of the family's 1533-position model. The record is from RNAcentral.